This 364-nucleotide ribosomal RNA is filed under the name uncultured bacterium. RNAcentral's name for it is "partial 16S ribosomal RNA". It matches the Rfam family "Bacterial small subunit ribosomal RNA", at positions 355 to 710 of the family's 1533-position model. The record is from RNAcentral.
UGGGGAAUUUUGGACAAUGGGCGCAAGCCUGAUCCAGCCAUGCCGCGUGCGGGAAGAAGGCCUUCGGGUUGUAAACCGCUUUUGUCAGGGAAGAAAUCUUCUGAGUUAAUACCUCGGGAGGAUGACGGUACCUGAAGAAUAAGCACCGGCUAACUACGUGCCAGCAGCCGCGGUAAUACGUAGGGUGCAAGCGUUAAUCGGAAUUACUGGGCGUAAAGCGUGCGCAGGCGGUUUAGUAAGACAGAGGUGAAAUCCCCGGGCUCAACCUGGGAACUGCCUUUGUGACUGCAAGGCUUGAGUGCGGCAGAGGGGGGAUGGAAUUCCGCGUGUAGCAGUGAAAUGCGUAGAUAUGCGGAGGAACACC